This 497-nucleotide ribosomal RNA is filed under the name uncultured bacterium. RNAcentral's name for it is "partial 16S ribosomal RNA". It matches the Rfam family "Bacterial small subunit ribosomal RNA", at positions 28 to 507 of the family's 1533-position model. The record is from RNAcentral.
GAUGAACGCUGGCGGCGUGCCUAAUACAUGCAAGUCGAGCGAACGGACGAGAAGCUUGCUUUUCUGAUGUUAGCGGCGGACGGGUGAGUAACACGUGGAUAACCUACCUAUAAGACUGGGAUAACUUCGGGAAACCGGAGCUAAUACCGGAUAAUAUUUUGAACCGCAUGGUUCAAAAGUGAAAGACGGUCUUGCUGUCACUUAUAGAUGGAUCCGCGCUGCAUUAGCUAGUUGGUAAGGUAACGGCUUACCAAGGCAACGAUGCAUAGCCGACCUGAGAGGGUGAUCGGCCACACUGGAACUGAGACACGGUCCAGACUCCUACGGGAGGCAGCAGUAGGGAAUCUUCCGCAAUGGGCGAAAGCCUGACGGAGCAACGCCGCGUGAGUGAUGAAGGUCUUCGGAUCGUAAAACUCUGUUAUUAGGGAAGAACAUAUAUGUAAGUAACUGUGCACAUCUUGACGGUACCUAAUCAGAAAGCCACGGCUAACUACGUG